RNAcentral lists this transfer RNA (84 nucleotides) under Flavobacteriales bacterium. RNAcentral describes it as "tRNA-Ser". It matches the Rfam family "tRNA". Rfam says of the family: Transfer RNA (tRNA) molecules are approximately 80 nucleotides in length. Their secondary structure includes four short double-helical elements and three loops (D, anti-codon, and T loops). The record is from RNAcentral. RNAcentral also lists the same sequence under 1 other name. Lineage: Bacteria; Pseudomonadati; Bacteroidota; Flavobacteriia; Flavobacteriales.
GCCACGGUCGCAUAAUCUGGCAUUGCGAGGAGCUCGAACCUCCUUGGUCGCAAGACUGUGCAGGUUCAAAUCCUGCCCGUGGCG